AGGCAGUGGAAACAGCUUUGCACCACAUCCUUUAGCUACAGCAAAUUGAGAGUGCUUGUUUGAUUUUAAGUGUUUUCCUCUCUGCUACGUUGACAGUCAGAUGUCUAAAGGGAUAGUCAGAGACAUUAUUUUCUCUCACCUACAAUACUUGCUGCAACAGGAGAAAUCCAGAUACCAUUUCUCAAGGCUUAAGUCAUACACUUACAAACAGGCUGUUGCUAACUCUUCUUCAGACACAACUCAUAAGUCAGUGGAAGGCUUUAAAUAGAUCUUGUUCAUAGUAUCUCUUCCCCAGGAUCUUUCCAUGCACUUGGAAAGUCCCUGCAUGGUUGUCUGCAGUGGGUGCCCUAGAACUGAUGUUCAAAGGAACAUAUCUGUUGGAGAACAGCUUGAGAUAGAGAAAGAGCCUUAGGCAUAACCAGGAUUGAAGAGAAAGCACUGCUUGAGACUUAAACUUAGUUACCUCUGUGCUGGCAGAAAACUCCAGAUUCUGUGGUAUGGUAAGUAAGGCAGAUGUGUUAUCUGCAGCCCAAGUCUUUCCAUACCUCUGUAGAACAGUUCUGGCUGUAGCAGCAACAGGCCUGGCACGAGCUUACAAGUCCAGACAAAAUAGCAUUAGAUCCCACUUGCAAACAGGCAUUAACUACCUUAGACCUGGUUGCAUGUAAGGACCUGCUGCUCUCAGUCAGUGAUGUUAAUUUGUAGGAAAUGUUAAUCUAUUAACAAAUUUAUAUUUGUUAAUGCUUUUGAAGAUGCUCUCCUGCUUGCUGACUCAUUUUGUGUGGUUUUACAGGCAUGCCUUCUUCAAAUUUUCUCCUUAUACACAGCUUGUCCUAUCUUCUUUCACAUUACAACUGCAAUUUCUGAGUUUUAGAGCAUGUAUUUCAAAGUAUUGUGCUUUUGACCAACCAAUUGGUUCUUCUAAAGCCUGGAAACUACUAGAAAACAUUUUGUGCCAUAAGCAGUGAAGUAAAAGCUUAAUCUACUGCCAUUUGAAGGCAAUGCAGGGGAACUCACACUGGAUUCAAUGGAUUUUGAGUCGGAACCUAGGUCAGCAUUGUGAAUUAUUUCAUGUUUCCAAAUAUGCCAGAUGGUGUCAUUUGCUUAUAGACAAACUGCUAACAUAUUUUCUCUGGAGAUGUUUUAACUUAUUAAAUUAAAGACAUCC
Long non-coding RNA from Pogoniulus pusillus (Red-fronted tinkerbird), 1168 nucleotides. RefSeq lists it as uncharacterized. The record is from RefSeq and is a predicted model, not a curated record. Lineage: Eukaryota; Metazoa; Chordata; Aves; Piciformes; Lybiidae. The transcript is spliced from 4 exons.